GAUGAACGCUGGCGGUAUGCUUAACACAUGCAAGUCGAACGGACUCUUCGGAGUUAGUGGCGGACGGGUGAGUAACGCGUGAGAAUCUGGCUUUGGGUUCGGGACAACCACUGGAAACGGUGGCUAAUACCGGAUGUGCCGAGAGGUAAAAGAGAAAUUGCCUGAAGAUGAGCUCGCGUCUGAUUAGCUAGUUGGUGAGGUAAAGGCUCACCAAGGCAGCGAUCAGUAGCUGGUCUGAGAGGAUGACCAGCCACACUGGGACUGAGACACGGCCCAGACGACCACGGGAGGCAGCAGUGGGGAAUUAUCCGCAAUGGGCGAAAGCCUGACGGAGCAAUACCGCGUGAGGGAAGAAGGCUCUUGGGUUGUAAACCUCUUUUCUUAGGGAAGAACAAAAUGACGGUACCUAAGGAAUCAGCAUCGGCUAACUCCGUG
RNAcentral lists this ribosomal RNA (435 nucleotides) under uncultured bacterium. Its description in RNAcentral is "partial 16S ribosomal RNA". It matches the Rfam family "Bacterial small subunit ribosomal RNA", at positions 28 to 507 of the family's 1533-position model. The record is from RNAcentral.